UUAAGUUCAGCGGGUAUCCCUACCUGAUCCGAGGUCAAGAGUUAAAGUAUAGGCUUAAUGGACGCAAGCGUUCAAGACGAGAUGCGCAAAAUGUGCUGCGCUCCCAGGCUAGUACGCCGGCUGCCAAUUGCUUUGAGGCGAGUCCACGCAAAAUCGCGGGACAAACACCCAACACCAAGCAGAGCUUGAAGGUACAAAUG
Molecule: unclassified non-coding RNA, 200 nt
Filed under: Ascomycota sp.
Lineage: Eukaryota; Fungi; Ascomycota
Description: partial internal transcribed spacer 2
Source: RNAcentral